Molecule: long non-coding RNA, 238 nt
Filed under: Carica papaya (papaya)
Lineage: Eukaryota; Viridiplantae; Streptophyta; Magnoliopsida; Brassicales; Caricaceae
Description: long non-coding RNA (CPAP_LNC012212)
Source: RNAcentral
GAAAGACAUUUGAGAAUUAAAGUAACUGAGUCUAAUGGAUCUUUAUUUCACAUCAGAAUUAUGUAUAAGACAGAGAGUAAAGCUAGUAAAAUAAAGCUCUAACUGUGAUUAAAGAAAUGUAUUAAAGACUGGUUGAAAAAAUUAUAUAUCUUACUCAUAUAAGUUCAUACAUUAAAUAUGACUUAAAAUGUAAUUAGUCCAUCUAUGCAUAAUUUAAGAGAUACUAUAUUUAUUCAGU